RNAcentral lists this ribosomal RNA (468 nucleotides) under uncultured bacterium. RNAcentral describes it as "partial 16S ribosomal RNA". It matches the Rfam family "Bacterial small subunit ribosomal RNA", at positions 28 to 507 of the family's 1533-position model. The record is from RNAcentral.
GACGAACGCUGGCGGCGUGCUUAACACAUGCAAGUCGAACGGAAAGGCCCUGCUUUUGUGGGGUGCUCGAGUGGCGAACGGGUGAGUAACACGUGAGUAACCUGCCCUUGACUUUGGGAUAACUUCAGGAAACUGGGGCUAAUACCGGAUAGGAGCUCCUGCUGCAUGGUGGGGGUUGGAAAGUUUCGGCGGUUGGGGAUGGACUCGCGGCUUAUCAGCUUGUUGGUGGGGUAGUGGCUUACCAAGGCUUUGACGGGUAGCCGGCCUGAGAGGGUGACCGGCCACAUUGGGACUGAGAUACGGCCCAGACUCCUACGGGAGGCAGCAGUGGGGAAUAUUGCACAAUGGGCGGAAGCCUAAUGCAGCAACGCCGCGUGCGGGAUGACGGCCUUCGGGUUGUAACCCGCUUUCGCCUGUGACGAAGCGUGAGUGACGGUAAUGGGUAAAGAAGCACCGGCUAACUACGUG